Molecule: ribosomal RNA, 497 nt
Filed under: uncultured bacterium
Lineage: Bacteria
Description: partial 16S ribosomal RNA
Rfam family: Bacterial small subunit ribosomal RNA
Source: RNAcentral
GAUGAACGCUGGCGGCGUGCCUAAUACAUGCAAGUUGAGCGCUGAAGGUUGGUACUUGUACCAACUGGAUGAGCAGCGAACGGGUGAGUAACGCGUGGGGAAUCUGCCUUUGAGCGGGGGACAACAUUUGGAAACGAGUGCUAAUACCGCAUAAAAACUUUAAACACAAGUUUUAAGUUUGAAAGAUGCAAUUGCAUCACUCAAAGAUGAUCCCGCGUUGUAUUAGCUAGUUGGUGAGGUAAGGGCUCACCAAGGCGAUGAUACAUAGCCGACCUGAGAGGGUGAUCGGCCACAUUGGGACUGAGACACGGCCCAAACUCCUACGGGAGGCAGCAGUAGGGAAUCUUCGGCAAUGGACGAAAGUCUGACCGAGCAACGCCGCGUGAGUGAAGAAGGUUUUCGGAUCGUAAAACUCUGUUGGUAGAGAAGAACGUUGGUGAGAGUGGAAAGCUCAUCAAGUGACGGUAACUACCCAGAAAGGGACGGCUAACUACGUG